This is a long non-coding RNA of Paramacrobiotus metropolitanus, 677 nucleotides long. RefSeq lists it as uncharacterized. The transcript has 4 exons. NCBI's taxonomy places the organism in Eukaryota, Metazoa, Tardigrada, Eutardigrada, Parachela, Macrobiotidae. The record is from RefSeq and is a predicted model, not a curated record.
ACUUCUCGAUUAGCGAGUCGUCCUAGUUUUCGACGAGGCGCUCGGCAUGCAACGAAGAAGUUGCACAACACGAAGAUCGCGCAGAAAUGAGAAAUCAGCAAGUUUGUUCGCGCAUACAAGUGACUGACCGCUACAGGCGGGUUUGAGACGCCGGUGCAGAGUGACCAGACUGAACCCUAAUACGCACAGUAACCUAGUGUUUGGGAAAGGAAUCCCAUCCCCCAUGACAAAUCUUUAAAUCAUAAAUUUACAAGCACAUUCUUAAUGCGUUUUCGCUGUUUAUACGCGUAUCGAUCGUCAGUCUUUAUGAGGAUUCCAGACCCGGCAGUGAACUUCCAAAAUACGGGCAAUGGAUGAACAGAACUUUGUUGGCGCAACCUGGAAAAUGACAAGAAUAUCUGGCGCUCCUGAUGGUCAUUUUGCCACAUAAUAAGGUUUAUCAAGAUGUGCCGGAAGCAUGGACCGAGGAUUCCACAAAAUCCUUAAGAAAGUGUGUUAUAUGGUACUGGGCGUUCGAGUCGGCACCCUACAGAUUUCGGGAUCCCGGCUUCUCGACUGGGAAAUCUUAAUUAAUGAAGAAGUUAGGCAUAAGGAAUUUAUCCCGGUGCAGCAUUUUGUCUCAGCUCAUUUGCAAGUUGGCAGCGUUUGCAUAAUUUUGGCACAUGUGCAUCCUUGUA